This is a non-coding RNA of Paramuricea clavata, 558 nucleotides long. The record is from the annotation of a GenBank genome assembly. NCBI's taxonomy places the organism in Eukaryota, Metazoa, Cnidaria, Anthozoa, Malacalcyonacea, Plexauridae.
GUCAGAGCAAGUUCGAAGUUUGAAGCAGUAGCGCUGAGAUUUGUAAUUUUUCACUGGCCGUAUUCUCAACACUGCACGUACUCGCAACGAAGAAAGACUACACGAUGGUUAUAUUUUUUAUCAUGUUAGUCAUUGCAGGAUGGGCAGGUAAAUGGAAAUUCAGUUAUACUACUGUCUACUUUUAAUCAUACACUGGCACAGCAUUGCAUGCAUGUACUCUGUAAAUUGAUAAAGUUAGCAGGUUUAUAUAUAUUAGACAGCUAGCGCUCAUCUAAACUAAAUUUAGUAUGCUUAGUUCUCAUCGCCUACGUUGUGAAAAGAGAGAAAAGUAGACUUUUUGGCAAAAUACAGAAAAGCGGAAGGAUAGAGAAUAACGAGCUUGACGCAAGCGACGUUUAAAUCAGGGGCGUAAAUGUGGGGUGUGGGGGUGUGGGGGUGUGGGGGUGUGGGGGGUGGUUCACCCCCCAGAGAAAUGAUCCAGUCGGUCUCAAACUACGUGCAGUCGGUCGAGCAGUCGGUCUCAAAAUUAUACGUUUGUUUACAUGCAGUGCUUUGCGA